GGCGCUUUGGCCGAGCGGUCUAAGGCGAGAGACUAGAAAGCGAUUAAUCAGCUUCUGACAUCUCUUAUCUUCGGAUGCGCAGGUUCAAAUCCUGCAGGCGUCG
Delphinella strobiligena is the source of this 103-nucleotide non-coding RNA. NCBI's taxonomy places the organism in Eukaryota, Fungi, Ascomycota, Dothideomycetes, Dothideales, Dothioraceae. The record is from the annotation of a GenBank genome assembly.